This 68-nucleotide transfer RNA is filed under the name Arcuatula senhousia (Asian date mussel). RNAcentral describes it as "tRNA-Phe". The record is from RNAcentral. Lineage: Eukaryota; Metazoa; Mollusca; Bivalvia; Mytilida; Mytilidae.
GGAAGUGUAGCAUACUGUUUAGUGCACCUCAUUGAAAUUGAGGAAGGAGGUUUAAAGACUCGCUUCCG